Molecule: small nuclear RNA, 152 nt
Filed under: Dasypus novemcinctus (nine-banded armadillo)
Lineage: Eukaryota; Metazoa; Chordata; Mammalia; Cingulata; Dasypodidae
Description: U1 spliceosomal RNA (ENSDNOG00000027984.1)
Rfam family: U1 spliceosomal RNA
About the family: U1 is a small nuclear RNA (snRNA) component of the spliceosome (involved in pre-mRNA splicing).
Source: RNAcentral
AUACUUAUCUCUCAGGGGAGAUGACCAUGAUCAUGAAGGUGGUUUUCCCAGGGCGAGGAUUAUCCAUUGCACUCCGGGUGUGCUGACCCCUUCGAUUUCCCCAAAUGUGGGAAACUUGACUGCAUAAUUUGUGGUAGUUGGCACUCUCCCCU